GCCCAGAUGUAGAUCAGACUACAGGGUACACAAUUCAGAAGUUCAUAGCAGAGCUCUAGGAUACAUGGCUAGUGUAAGACAUUAGUGUAAGACAUUGUCUCAGCAUUUGACAUGCCCCACGAGCUCCCCCUUUGAAGAGUGGGGAGCCUUGAAAGAGUGCAAGCAAACAAGUGCUCCUGCAAGUAGGCUGGACUUGCUCAUGCUGGUGCAGCCAAGCACUGCAUCCUUGGAGAUGAAGGCAAAGUUGAUAAAUUUGGUUCACUGUCUGAUCCAACCUCAGAACCUCCUCAGAGGAGUGGUGCGCUUCUAUGAUGAGAGGCAGUGCCAAAGACAAGUCAGGUAGCUGCUCCUCAGUUCUCAGGAUGUCUGAUGGUACCUUUAUUUGACAACUGGCUCAGUCCCUCCCUGGUGUACAGAUCAAUAUCUCUCAAACCAUUGGGCCCCACUUCAAGAUCCACUUCCAUGUCCUCAUUGUUCUGCUCAGCCCUAUGAAGUUGUUUCCAUGGGACUAAUGACACCCAAAAAUUUAAGUUACCCCUGGAAAAUUGGCUGCCAUGACAGUAUUUUCUGUCUUUUGGUGGGCUUAUUAGAAGCCGAUAGCAUAAGCUAAGUUGAUGUACACCUUCCUGACUUUUCCUACUAAAAGGAGGUUCACAUCCCAUUAUUAUUGUUUUGCCACUUUGCAGAGUUCAUUCUGCUUCUAUAAGCUGCUGAAGAGCAUAACAAUUUAUGCAAAACAACAACAAAGAGUUUGAGUGCAAAUUUGUUUCCUCCACAGAAUUUUAUGCAGACAACAGAAUCCACCUCUCCAUGCCAUUAUAAUCUGAGUAUCCUUGGACUAGCUUUUUUAUGACAACACAGACCACAAACUGGAAAGGAAGAGAGUGGAAGAGACAUAAUUGCGCACUAUCAUUACUGAGCACUAAAUGAACCCCAUGGAGCAUAAUGCAGAGAAGCAUACUUCCUCAUGGUGCCUUUAGUUCCCCAGGGGGGUCUGUUAAGUACUUUGUAGUUCUCUGUGCCAGCCUGAAAAGAAGCCACCACUGGGAGUAGAGCUUAAUGUCCUAAUUCCCAAAUCAUUUAGAGCAAGAAAUAUGUUCACUCUUGACUCAUGGGGAAGCAGAAAUGUACAUAUCAGAAUUCAGGAUGGGAUGCCAGAUAAACAGAUAACAACUAAA
Molecule: non-coding RNA, 1178 nt
Organism: Podarcis lilfordi (Lilford's wall lizard)
Lineage: Eukaryota; Metazoa; Chordata; Lepidosauria; Squamata; Lacertidae
Source: the annotation of a GenBank genome assembly